UACCUGAUUGAUUCUGUCAGCGCGAUAUGCUCAAGUAAAAGAUUAAAGCCAUGCAUGCUUUGAUUCAUAAAAUGAAAUUGCGUACGGCUCAUUAGAGCAGAUAUCACCUUUCUCGGAAUCCUGAAAGGAUAACCUGCGGAAAUU
This 144-nucleotide non-coding RNA is filed under the name Caenorhabditis japonica. RNAcentral describes it as "Eukaryotic small subunit ribosomal RNA". It matches the Rfam family "Eukaryotic small subunit ribosomal RNA", at positions 1 to 158 of the family's 1831-position model. Lineage: Eukaryota; Metazoa; Nematoda; Chromadorea; Rhabditida; Rhabditidae. The record is from Rfam by way of RNAcentral.